RNAcentral lists this ribosomal RNA (251 nucleotides) under uncultured bacterium. Its description in RNAcentral is "partial 16S ribosomal RNA". It matches the Rfam family "Bacterial small subunit ribosomal RNA", at positions 526 to 776 of the family's 1533-position model. The record is from RNAcentral.
CGAAGGGGGCUAGCGUUGUUCGGAUUUACUGGGCGUAAAGCGCACGUAGGCUGAUCGUUAAGUCAGGGGUGAAAUCCUGGAGCUCAACUCCAGAACUGCCUUUGAUACUGGCGAUCUUGAGUCCGGAAGAGGUGAGUGGAACUCCUAGUGUAGAGGUGGAAUUCGUAGAUAUUAGGAAGAACACCAGUGGCGAAGGCGGCUCACUGGUCCGGUACUGACGCUGAGGUGCGAAAGCGUGGGGAGCAAACAGG